CUACCUGUCAAAGGGGAGUAGCUAUAGGCUUCGGCCUAAACAAAGUCGUCAUUUCAUGGAUAUCUCCAUCGGCUUUGUUGGCAUUUUGAACAAUGCUAAGCAAGACCUUUGCCUUUAUUGGGCAAGGGUCUUUUUUAUUUUAUGAAAUUCCU
RNAcentral lists this small RNA (152 nucleotides) under [Bacillus] enclensis. RNAcentral's name for it is "Bacillus enclensis Manganese sequence". It matches the Rfam family "Manganese Mn2+ riboswitch aptamer (yybP-ykoY)". From Rfam's summary of the family: This RNA was originally discovered in E. coli during a large scale screen and was named SraF. The family was later found to exist upstream of related families of protein genes in many bacteria, including the the yybP and ykoK genes in B. subtilis. The record is from RNAcentral. Lineage: Bacteria; Bacillati; Bacillota; Bacilli; Caryophanales; Bacillaceae.